GGGUGCGAUCAUACCAGCACUAAUGCACCAUAUUCCAUUAGUACUCCGCAGUUAAGCGUGUUUGGGCAAGAGUAGUACUAAGAUGGGUGAUCUCCUGGGAAGUCUUCGUGUUAGAUCUC
Molecule: non-coding RNA, 119 nt
Organism: Arabis alpina (gray rockcress)
Lineage: Eukaryota; Viridiplantae; Streptophyta; Magnoliopsida; Brassicales; Brassicaceae
Source: Rfam